RNAcentral lists this ribosomal RNA (253 nucleotides) under uncultured bacterium. RNAcentral describes it as "partial 16S ribosomal RNA". It matches the Rfam family "Bacterial small subunit ribosomal RNA", at positions 524 to 776 of the family's 1533-position model. The record is from RNAcentral.
UACGUAGGGCGCAAGCGUUGUCCGGAAUUAUUGGGCGUAAAGAGCUCGUAGGCGGCUUGUCGCGUCGAUUGUGAAAGCCCGGGGCUUAACUCCGGGUCUGCAGUCGAUACGGGCAGGCUAGAGUGUGGUAGGGGAGAUCGGAAUUCCUGGUGUAGCGGUGAAAUGCGCAGAUAUCAGGAAGAACACCUAUGGCGAAGGCAGCUCUCUGGGACGGUACUGACGCUGAGACGCGAAAGCGUGGGGAGCGAACAGG